RNAcentral lists this ribosomal RNA (494 nucleotides) under uncultured bacterium. RNAcentral describes it as "partial 16S ribosomal RNA". It matches the Rfam family "Bacterial small subunit ribosomal RNA", at positions 28 to 507 of the family's 1533-position model. The record is from RNAcentral.
GACGAACGCUGGCGGCGUGCCUAUACAUGCAAGUAGAACGCUGAAGGAGGAGCUUGCUUCUCUGGAUGAGUUGCGAACGGGUGAGUAACGCGUAGGUAACCUGCCUGGUAGCGGGGGAUAACUAUUGGAAACGAUAGCUAAUACCGCAUAAUAGUAGAUGUUGCAUGACAUUUGCUUAAAAGGUGCAAUUGCAUCACUACCAGAUGGACCUGCGUUGUAUUAGCUAGUUGGUGAGGUAACGGCUCACCAAGGCAACGAUACAUAGCCGACCUGAGAGGGUGAUCGGCCACCCUGGGACUGUGACACGCCCCAGACUCCUACGGGUGGCAGCAGUAGGGAAUCUUCGGCCAUGGACGGAAGUCUGACCGAGAAACGCCGCGUGAGUGAAGAAGGUUUUCGGAUCGUAAAGCUCUGUUGUAAGAGAAGAACGAGUGUGAGAGUGGAAAGUUCACACUGUGACGGUAUCUUACCAGAAAGGGACGGCUAACUACGUG